RNAcentral lists this long non-coding RNA (1556 nucleotides) under Durio zibethinus. RNAcentral describes it as "long non-coding RNA (DZIB_LNC000080)". The record is from RNAcentral. Lineage: Eukaryota; Viridiplantae; Streptophyta; Magnoliopsida; Malvales; Malvaceae.
UACCUUUACAUAUAACUUGCAAGAAAAUAUUUUAAAAAGAUUGAAACAGAAACACGGUGUUUUAGAAAAUAAAAUGCAAGAUUUUACCUUUAUUUAGAAUCAUAAACACUUAUGAAGUGCUAACUCUACUUCCUGGAUAAGCUUAGACUUUUCGUAGGCAUUUCAUCAAACACGUAAUUUUUUUUUCGAAAUUAGUUGGAGCCUAUCUUGCAACCCUUUUUCAGAAACGAGUUUGUAGAGAAUAUCCAUAAUUCUUUUAUCAAUAUCAAUUGCAACAACCUAUUUUAGCAGCCUCAAGGAGCUUGACAAUAAGAUUUUCCGAUCCCGAGUCUAAUUUCUAAGAGGUGCCGGGAGGUCAUACAUAAGAUCUUCGAACAAUAGCGUCGAGAAUUUGAGUGUUGGUGAGGAGAUGUUGACCCUUGCUCUUAUACAAAUAUAAAUGGUCUUGUUGAUUUUCUUCUGUGUUUCGAGUUUUCUGAUUUUUGUCAUCAUCAUCAUUAUUUUGGCGAGAAUAAUGAUUGGAUUUUGUGCUGAGAUUUCGUUGAGAGCCUUGGAGGAAAAUUAACCAAGAAAGGUGGAUCGGAGUCUUGAAAAGCAUUGGUUUUAGCAAUCGUUUUAGGGAGAUUUAUGAACAAGAAAAGAUUUAAAUGAAAACAAUUUUUUAAUAUUUUAAAUAAAAAUUUAAAAGUUUUUAUUAAAAAUGAAUAAAUCAAAAAUUAAAAUUGAUAGAUUAAAAAAAUUUAUUAUAUAAAUUAAAUAUGUAAAAUUUUAAAAAAUUUUAAUAUAUUUUAAAUAAAUCUUUUAAAAAAUAAAUUAAUAAAAUUUUUAUCUUUAAAUAAAUAUCGAUUAAAUUAAAUUAUAAAUAAUAUUUUUAAUUUUUAUAUAUUAUUAAUUUUUAUAUUAAAUUUUACCAAUUUAUUAAUUUAAAUUUUUAUUAAAUUAUUUAAAAAAUAAUUUCUAAAUUUCAUCUAAAAAAUGUAGGUAUUGUUCUUGAUCAACCACGACAAAGAACGAUGCGGGCAGCGGGAGUUUCGAAACUUUGGUUUUAGUUUUAAAAUUUUUUUAUGCGGUUUUGGAGGAUUUGAACCAUUAAAAAAAAUGAGGUCGGGAGUAGCCCUAAAAAGGUUGCAUUUUGAGUUUUUUUAGCUCCGACGGACCACGACGGUAAUCGGAAAAGAUGAAGUAACUGCCGAUCGACCCCUCUCCCUUCUCUUCCUUUUCUACUCUCAAUUUUUUUUUUCAUUUUUCAAAAAUAUAUUAGAAAAUUUUAAAAUAAUUUUAACCAAUUAAUUGUAACAUGUGAAAUUCAAUUCCCAAAAAUUUUUAUACAAAAUGCUUUUUAUGUCACAUUUUCUUUUAUGCUAUCUCAGCAAUAGUUGUGUACUUCAUUUUAUGUGUUAUUAUGAUAUUUAAACAGGUACGAUGAUUUGUGUAUUUAAAUUAUAUAAAAUAUUAAUUUUUAUUAUAUUUCAUAUGAAAAUAUAUAUUAUAAUUUAUGUUGAUAUUAAAAUAUAAAUUAUAUAUUUUUAUUUUAUUAAAUUAUAUAUAAUUUUGUU